Molecule: ribosomal RNA, 401 nt
Filed under: uncultured Pseudomonas sp.
Lineage: Bacteria; Pseudomonadati; Pseudomonadota; Gammaproteobacteria; Pseudomonadales; Pseudomonadaceae
Description: bacterial SSU rRNA
Rfam family: Bacterial small subunit ribosomal RNA
Source: RNAcentral
GACAUGCAGAGAACUUUCCAGAGAUGGAUUGGUGCCCUUCGGGGAACUCUGACACAGGUGCUGCAUGGCUGUCGUCAGCUCGUGCGUGAGAUGUUGGGUUAAGUCCCGUAACGAGCGCAACCCUUGUCCUUAGUUACCAGCACGUUAUGGUGGGCACUCUAAGGAGACUGCCGGUGACAACCGGAGGAAGGUGGGGAUGACGUCAAGUCAUCAUGGCCCUUACGGCCUGGGCUACACACGUGCUACAAUGGUCGGUACAAAGGGUUGCCAAGCCGCGAGGGUGGAGCUAAUCCCAUAAAACCGAUCGUAGUCCGGAUCGCAGUCUGCAACUCGACUGCGUGAAGUCGGAAUCGCUAGUAAUCGUGAAUCAGAAUGUCACGGUGAAUACGUUCCCGGGCCUU